UUUUUUUGUUGUUGUUUUUUGGUCUUUUUUUUUUCCUAACAUUUUUCAAGGCAAAAUAUCCAAUCCCUGUCUAAAAUGAUCAAAUUUUGCCCUGAAGCAAACUUGUAAAUUUUUGUGCAAAGACUCGUGAAACUUCACAAGGCAAGAGAUCAAUAAUUUCACCCUGUUCCGUUCUCAUCGUGCUCCUCAGUAUACAAACUGCCAACACGAAAAAGUUAAGAUUCAAAUAGCAAGUAAGAACUCUCUCCUAACCUUUUAAAAAUAAAGCAGUAUCUUUAAAAUAGAUGUGAUCAAUCCGUAUUCAAAAGUUUUAGGAAAAGAAAAAUAAACAAACAAAAAAAUCCCAAAAAAAACCUGAGUUCAGAGAUUUAGAAUAGUUUUACAUAAAUAGUAGACAUGUGUCUCAGUAACUGUACCAGCUAUAACAUGAGCUGCUCUCCCCACAGUACUUUUGAGUGUUUUGACUGUGUGUCUGAUGUUGUAACUUUUGUUACAAGCCAGGAUUUAAACAAGUGGCCAAAUGGCUGUACUUACUGCAGACACACCAAGGCACUGGGACAUGCUGCUUAGUAGUACACAACCUUUGGGGUGUUAGUGUUAUGUCCUUAUAAAUGUAGUGUGCAUAAAUUAAAUCUCAGCAAAUAUGAACCAAUACUAAGACAUGCUCUAUCAUCUUCUUUCAGUCUUCUUUAUCUUGGUGCAUCCAAGUUGUUAAUGUUUCCUUGUGAUUAGCUCUUGGUCUUUUAUUCUUCUUGCUGAGUUCUGUCGGAGAACUCAUUUAGUUCCAUGGCUUUGCCUAUGCCUUUAGCGCAGAGACUGCCCAUUUUCUGUUGCCAAUCUUUCUCCUUCAUCUGACCGUCUGUUAUUUAUUUUGUGGAUGUUUACUGGCAAUUUGUGCUCUUUGAUAAUUGACUCCUCUUCAUGGUAAACUCUCCAAGAUAAUCCCAAGCCAUGUCUUUUUUCUGAACUUUUAAUUUUUUUCAUAAAAGAAGUGUGCAUUCAAAUACACAGUGCUUGACAUCUUUGAGCAGAGGGGAAGUAGAUGGCAAGAGCUAGGAGUUAGGAUAGAAGUACAUUUGGGACCAAGCACAUCUUUAAGGCCUGGGAGCUUUGCCCCAAGUCACUAAUGGUCAUGUGAGAGAAAAGCAGGCACAGUUUUUGUCAAAUCUAAUUUUCCAAAUGGAAACAAAGUAUAAUUUGGUAGUGAAAUUUAUCAAUGUAUUUAACUGCCACCAAUGGUUGAACUCUCUUGAGGCCACAGGAGAUCUGUAAUGUGAAUGCCUACUGUCUGACAGUGACUUCUAUGUAGGAAAUGACCUAAAGGCAACUACAAAAAUAUAUCAGUAAAAAUAGAAAUUGCUUCUGAUGUCAUACAGCAAUCUUGUGAAAGACGUACAAAAGACUGAUGCAAAUAAGAUUAAGCACAUAUAAAUGUGCACAGAAUUUAGUUAAAAAGUUAAAACAGGCCUUCUUCUCCAUUUGGGAACUGUAUUUCUAAACCCAAUAUUAUUUGGGAAAAUUAAAGAGCUUUAGGAACAUAACUAAUUAAAUAUUGUUUUCAAUGUACCCUAAAAAGUAUUUUUUUUCAAAUAAAAGAAACAUACCAAAACCUGUUUAAGAUUUUGACCCUUAAAUAUUCCAAGUAUGAGGUAAAAAACCCAUGUUAGCCGUAAGGUAGAAAAGUCAGAAUAGUGAACUUUUUUUAUUUAUUCUGGCUGCAGAAAUUACUUUUUGCUAUUUACUUCACCUACAUGAGCUAGCUAAUUGGUUUGAAUAUAAAUAGCUAAACACCGAAAGAGGAGAAUAUAUUGAUAAAACAUCACAGCAUCAAUGUCCACUGAAUUCUGUCAGGACUGCUGUAGACCUACACGCAUUCACUUUUUGAAUUAGACGUCUAAUAGUUUAUGGGAGUGCAUAUUUCUUUAAGUUGAGUAACUAAAUUCAUGUUAAUAUAGUAUCAGUUUAUUGAACUUCAGAUUUCAGCUCAGGCAUCACAGAAGAGUGUGGAGCUAUAUUUAGAGUGAGAUCUGCAUAUUCCAUGCAGAUGGAACCAGUCCAUGAAUGUAUGUUGGUAUCAUUCCUGCCAGUCCUAAUAAAACUAUCUUUGGUGUGUUUGAACAAGACGCACGUUACACAUGAAAACUGAAACAUCAACCAUUAUAUACCCUUUAAGUGUAGAUGAAAUAAUUUUACAUCCACACAAUAUUUUUAAAUGUUGACUUUAGCAAAAACUUAAAAAUCCUCUGCAAUUUGAAAUGAAAAUUCAUGAUGCACAAAAUUAUGAAGGAAAACAAUGUCUACUCCAAAUACCCAUAACUUUUUUGAAUAAAAUUUCAGUGUUAUGAUUUAAUCUUUCUCAUUUAUGCUUUCUUGGUGUAUUUGAAUUCGUAGUGUUUUCAUGUGCAGUAUAACAUUUAAUCUGCACAGUACCCUUUCUGAAAAGUGGCAACAUUACAUGCUUAAUGGUGAAAGAAGUCCCAUGGAAGUGAAUGGCUGUCUUCCUCAUCAAAAAAAAGAAUCAUUUGCAAACCAAAUGCUGAAGGUAGGAUGCUCUCAAUUCCAGUACAGGCUUAUGAUUUUUAGCCAAAAAAAAAAAAAUGCGGACAACAAAAGGAAAUCUCUGUAGCUAAGUAGACAUCAAGUCUACAGGAAAAUGACUUGAUCUAAUUGGCUUAUUUAUUUUCUUAUUCCCCUUUACUUUGACUGUUAGCGAUUGACCCCACCCCUGAAUCAUGUGAAACUCAUGUUCUUUCACUGACCUGUACCCCUUACCCCACUGAUCUGAGUGUUUUGAGGUGCAGUAGUAAACUAAACAAUUGUAUACUAUGUAUAAUUUUAGACACAAUCCACCUAGCAUAAGUCUAUGUCACUGGUGAUUGGUUAUGUAUGAUUCUAUAUGUAUGGCAUUUUUUAAACCUAAUGUUACUAUAUAAAUUAUCUAGUGACAAUAAAUCAGUCACUAGGAAGUCACUAGGAAGACAGUUUUGAAGUCAAUAACGUACAGGCAGAAAUCUGUUACAGUAACUUAUGUCCGGACUCUUUUUCUUUAAGUCUUGCAAACUUUUAACUCAUGUUUCAGGACACAAGCCUCUCUCUGAAAAUGACUAGCAUCCCAAGAUGUGUCUUGAGAGUUCAUUACC
RNAcentral lists this long non-coding RNA (3140 nucleotides) under Mus musculus (house mouse). RNAcentral's name for it is "long non-coding RNA chr2:43925082-43928222". The record is from RNAcentral. Lineage: Eukaryota; Metazoa; Chordata; Mammalia; Rodentia; Muridae.